Molecule: ribosomal RNA, 340 nt
Filed under: uncultured bacterium
Lineage: Bacteria
Description: bacterial SSU rRNA
Rfam family: Bacterial small subunit ribosomal RNA
Source: RNAcentral
AAUCAACGCUGGCGGCGUGCCUCAGACAUGCAAGUCGAACGAUUAAAGCUCUCUUCGGAGAGUGCAUAGAGUGGCGCACGGGUGAGUAACACGUAAGUAAUCUACCUUCGAGUGGGGAAUAACGUCCGGAAACGGGCGCUAAUACCGCAUAAUGCAGCGGCAUCGCAAGAUGACAGUUGUUAAAGGAGCAAUCCGCUUGAAGAGGAGCUUGCGGCAGAUUAGCUAGUUGGUAGGGUAAUGGCCUACCAAGGCUACGAUCUGUAACCGGUCUUAGAGGACGGUCGGUCACACUGACACUGAAUAACGGGUCAGACUCCUACGGGAGGGCAGCAGUCGGGAA